UUUCCGUAGGUGAACCUGCGGAAGGAUCAUUAUUGUAUAACCGAGGUGCGAGGGCUGUCGCUGACCCGAAAGGUCGUGCACGCCCGAGUGCCCUCACACACAUCCAUCUCACCCCUAUAUGCACCACCGCGUGGGUCCCCCUUUGGCUUGUUCGGAGGGGGGCUUACGUUUUCACACAAACUUUGUAUGCAGUGUAGAAUGUAUUUUUUGUUUUUGCGAUCACGCAAUCAAUACAACUUUCAACAACGGAUCUCUUGGCUCUC
This 263-nucleotide unclassified non-coding RNA is filed under the name plant metagenome. RNAcentral describes it as "partial contains small subunit ribosomal RNA, internal transcribed spacer 1, and 5.8S ribosomal RNA". The record is from RNAcentral.